CAAGUCGAACGAGAAGUGGAGCAAUCCAUGAGUAAAGUGGCGCACGGGUGAGUAACACGUGACUAACCUACCCAGGAGUGGGGGAUAACUGAGGGAAACCUUAGCUAAUACCGCAUAACACCUACGGGUCAAAGGAGCAAUUCGCUUCUGGAGGGGGUCGCGGCCGAUUAGUUAGUUGGCAGGGUAAUGGCCUACCAAGACGAUGAUCGGUAUCCGGCCUGAGAGGGCGCACGGACACACUGGAACUGAAACACGGUCCAGACUCCUACGGGAGGCAGCAGUGGGGAAUUUUGCGCAAUGGGGGAAACCCUGACGCAGCAACGCCGCGUGGAGGAUGAAGUCCUUCGGGACGUAAACUCCUUUCGAUCGGGACGAUUAUGACGGUACCGGAAGAAGAAGCCCCGGCUAACUUCGUGCCAGCAGCCGCGGUAUUACGAGGGGGGCGAGCGUUGUUCGGAAUUAUUGGGCGUAAAGGGUGCGUAGGCGGUUUGGUAAGUCUGAUGUGAAAUCUAUGGGCUCACUCAUAGUCUGCAUCGAAACUGCC
This 544-nucleotide ribosomal RNA is filed under the name uncultured Terriglobales bacterium. RNAcentral's name for it is "bacterial SSU rRNA". It matches the Rfam family "Bacterial small subunit ribosomal RNA", at positions 58 to 637 of the family's 1533-position model. The record is from RNAcentral. Lineage: Bacteria; Pseudomonadati; Acidobacteriota; Terriglobia; Terriglobales.